CCUACGGGAGGCAGCAGUGAGGAAUAUUGGACAAUGGGCGCAAGCCUGAUCCAGCCAUGCCGCGUGCAGGAAGACGCAUCUAUGGUGUGUAAACUGCUUUUGUACGGGAAGAAACACUCCUUCGUGAAGGAGCUUGACGGUACCGUAAGAAUAAGGAUCGGCUAACUCCGUGCCAGCAGCCGCGGUAAUACGGAGGAUCCAAGCGUUAUCCGGAAUCAUUGGGUUUAAAGGGUCCGUAGGCGGUUUAAUAAGUCAGUGGUGAAAUCUGGUCGCCCAACGAUCAAACGGCCAUUGAUACUGUUAGACUUGAAUUACUAGGAAGUAACUAGAAUAUGUAGUGUAGCGGUGAAAUGCUUAGAUAUUACAUGGAAUACCAAUUGCGAAGGCAGGUUACUACUAGUGGAUUGACGCUGAUGGACGAAAGCGUGGGGAGCGAACAGGAUUAGAUACCCUGGUAGUCCACGCCGUAAACGAUGGAUACUAGCUGUUGGGCGCAAGUUCAGUGGCUAGGCGAAAGUGAUAAGUAUCCACCUGGGGAGUACGUUCGCAAGAAUGAAACUCAAAUGAAAUUGACGGCUGAGAGAGCGAGACGACGACGAGGGAGGAGG
RNAcentral lists this ribosomal RNA (608 nucleotides) under uncultured bacterium. RNAcentral's name for it is "bacterial SSU rRNA". It matches the Rfam family "Bacterial small subunit ribosomal RNA", at positions 338 to 948 of the family's 1533-position model. The record is from RNAcentral.